RNAcentral lists this ribosomal RNA (465 nucleotides) under Vreelandella stevensii. RNAcentral's name for it is "partial 16S ribosomal RNA". It matches the Rfam family "Bacterial small subunit ribosomal RNA", at positions 338 to 795 of the family's 1533-position model. The record is from RNAcentral. Lineage: Bacteria; Pseudomonadati; Pseudomonadota; Gammaproteobacteria; Oceanospirillales; Halomonadaceae.
CCUACGGGAGGCUGCAGUGGGGAAUAUUGGACAAUGGGGGCAACCCUGAUCCAGCCAUGCCGCGUGUGUGAAGAAGGCCCUCGGGUUGUAAAGCACUUUCAGUGAGGAAGAACGCCUGGUGGUUAAUACCCAUCAGGAAAGACAUCACUCACAGAAGAAGCACCGGCUAACUCCGUGCCAGCAGCCGCGGUAAUACGGAGGGUGCGAGCGUUAAUCGGAAUUACUGGGCGUAAAGCGCGCGUAGGUGGCUUGAUAAGCCGGUUGUGAAAGCCCCGGGCUCAACCUGGGAACGGCAUCCGGAACUGUCAAGCUAGAGAGCAGGAGAGGAAGGUAGAAUUCCCGGUGUAGCGGUGAAAUGCGUAGAGAUCGGGAGGAAUACCAGUGGCGAAGGCGGCCUUCUGGACUGACACUGACACUGAGGUGCGAAAGCGUGGGUAGCAAACAGGAUUAGAUACCCCAGUAGUC